AGACCCGAAACCCGGUGAUCUAGCCAUGGGCAGGUUGAAGGUUGGGUAACACUAACUGGAGGACCGAACCGACUAAUGUUGAAAAAUUAGCGGAUGACCUGUGGCUGGGGGUGAAAGGCCAAUCAAACCGGGAGAUAGCUGGUUCUCCCCGAAAGCUAUUUAGGUAGCGCCUCGUGAAUUCAUCUCCGGGGGUAGAGCACUGUUUCGGCUAGGGGGCCAUCCCGGCUUACCAACCCGAUGCAAACUGCGAAUACCGGAGAAUGUUAUCACGGGAGACACACGGCGGGUGCUAACGUCCGUCGUGAAGAGGGAAACAACCCAGACCGCCAGCUAAGGUCCCAAAGUCAUGGUUAAGUGGGAAACGAUGUGGGAAGGCCCAGACAGCCAGGAUGUUGGCUUAGAAGCAGCCAUCAUUUAAAGAAAGCGUAAUAGCUCACUGGUCGAGUCGGCCUGCGCGGAAGAUGUAACGGGGCUAAACCAUGCACCGAAGCUGCGGCAGCGACACUCAGGUGUUGUUGGGUAGGGGAGCGUUCUGUAAGCCUGUGAAGGUGGCCUGUGAGGGUUGCUGGAGGUAUCAGAAGUGCGAAUGCUGACAUAAGUAACGAUAAAGCGGGUGAAAAGCCCGCUCGCCGGAAGACCAAGGGUUCCUGUCCAACGUUAAUCGGGGCAGGGUGAGUCGACCCCUAAGGCGAGGCCGAAAGGCGUAGUCGAUGGGAAACGGGUUAAUAUUCCCGUACUUGGUGUUACUGCGAAGGGGGGACGGAGAAGGCUAUGUUGGCCGGGCGACGGUUGUCCCGGUUUAAGCGUGUAGGUGUGUGUUCCAGGUAAAUCCGGUUCACUUUAACACUGAGGCGUGACGACGAGGCACUACGGUGCUGAAGCAACAAAUGCCCUGCUUCCAGGAAAAGCCUCUAAGCAUCAGGUAACAUCAAAUCGUACCCCAAACCGACACAGGUGGUCAGGUAGAGAAUACCAAGGCGCUUGAGAGAACUCGGGUGAAGGAACUAGGCAAAAUGGUGCCGUAACUUCGGGAGAAGGCACGCUGACACGUAGGUGAAGUGAUUUACUCAUGGAGCUGAAGUCAGUCGAAGAUACCAGCUGGCUGCAACUGUUUAUUAAAAACACAGCACUGUGCAAACACGAAAGUGGACGUAUACGGUGUGACGCCUGCCCGGUGCCGGAAGGUUAAUUGAUGGGGUCAGCGCAAGCGAAGCUCCUGAUCGAAGCCCCGGUAAACGGCGGCCGUAACUAUAACGGUCCUAAGGUAGCGAAAUUCCUUGUCGGGUAAGUUCCGACCUGCACGAAUGGCGUAAUGAUGGCCAGGCUGUCUCCACCCGAGACUCAGUGAAAUUGAACUCGCUGUGAAGAUGCAGUGUACCCGCGGCAAGACGGAAAGACCCCGUGAACCUUUACUAUAGCUUGACACUGAACAUUGAGCCUUGAUGUGUAG
This 1450-nucleotide ribosomal RNA is filed under the name Salmonella enterica. RNAcentral describes it as "partial 23S ribosomal RNA". It matches the Rfam family "Bacterial large subunit ribosomal RNA", at positions 711 to 2141 of the family's 2925-position model. RNAcentral also lists the same sequence under 3 other names. The record is from RNAcentral. Lineage: Bacteria; Pseudomonadati; Pseudomonadota; Gammaproteobacteria; Enterobacterales; Enterobacteriaceae.